GCCGGGGUGGCCUAGCUGGUUAGGGCGCCAGACUCAUAGGGAACGAAAAUGAGGCGCUCGUCUCCUGAGGCAUCUGGAAGUCACGGGUUCGGAUCCCGUUCCCGGCA
Molecule: transfer RNA, 107 nt
Filed under: Methanothrix harundinacea 6Ac
Lineage: Archaea; Methanobacteriati; Methanobacteriota; Methanomicrobia; Methanotrichales; Methanotrichaceae
Description: Methanosaeta harundinacea 6Ac tRNA
Rfam family: tRNA
About the family: Transfer RNA (tRNA) molecules are approximately 80 nucleotides in length. Their secondary structure includes four short double-helical elements and three loops (D, anti-codon, and T loops). Further hydrogen bonds mediate the characteristic L-shaped molecular structure. tRNAs have two regions of fundamental functional importance: the anti-codon, which is responsible for specific mRNA codon recognition, and the 3' end, to which the tRNAs corresponding amino acid is attached (by aminoacyl-tRNA synthetases). tRNAs cope with the degeneracy of the genetic code in two manners: having more than one tRNA (with a specific anti-codon) for a particular amino acid; and 'wobble' base-pairing, i.e. permitting non-standard base-pairing at the 3rd anti-codon position.
Source: Rfam by way of RNAcentral